UACAGAGGGUGCAAGCGUUGUUCGGAAUUACUGGGCGUAAAGCGCGUGUAGGUGGCAUGGUAAGUCUCGUGUGAAAGCCCUGGGCUCAACCCAGGAAGUGCGCGAGAUACUGCCGUGCUGGAGUGAUGGAGAGGAUGGCGGAAUUCCUGGUGUAGCGGUGAAAUGCGCAGAUAUCAGGAGGAACACCAAUUGCGAAGGCAGCUCGCUGGGACGUUACUGACGCUGAGACGCGAAAGCGUGGGGAGCAAACAGG
RNAcentral lists this ribosomal RNA (253 nucleotides) under uncultured bacterium. RNAcentral describes it as "partial 16S ribosomal RNA". It matches the Rfam family "Bacterial small subunit ribosomal RNA", at positions 524 to 776 of the family's 1533-position model. The record is from RNAcentral.